AUGCAUGACAUUAAAGGUAGUUUUGAUUAAACCGCUGCUAAAUGAAUGCAAUUAACGGCAGUUUUGUCCAAACUGCCGGUAAAUUCUUGAAUUUUGUGGUAGUUUUAUAUAAACUGUCGAGAAA
This is a small nucleolar RNA of Dioscorea cayenensis subsp. rotundata (Guinea yam), 124 nucleotides long. RefSeq annotates it as small nucleolar RNA SNORA14. The transcript has a single exon. The record is from RefSeq and is a predicted model, not a curated record. NCBI's taxonomy places the organism in Eukaryota, Viridiplantae, Streptophyta, Magnoliopsida, Dioscoreales, Dioscoreaceae.